CAGCGGAUCAUGACACAGCCCAUCGUACUCGCUCGCUCGCUUUUUCUCUUGGAAACCUUAAUUUCCAGUCUUCUUAUUGGUUCCUUCUGUGGUGCUUUUGAUUUGAUACGGGCGGGUGUUGGUGAUCUUGUUGCAGAAUCUAAUUUUCAGGCUCCUCCAAAGCAAAGUUCGCAUCUAAAUGUGGCUUUACGAGCAGAAGGAUUUGAGGAUUGAGGGGCGCAUCAUUGGUUUUGAUGAAUACAUGAACUUGGUCUAGGAUGAAGCUGAAGAACUCAAUGUCAACAGAAAACAAAGAAAAGCCAGAGAACCAUUGGGUUAGUCAUGUUAUUUGAUACUUUUGAUUUGUUGCUCUGUGUGUUCUCUGUUCCUUUUUAUUUGUCCAUCAGACCUAUGCUUCUUUAUAGGGAGAAUUCUGUUGAAAGGUGACAACA
Molecule: long non-coding RNA, 431 nt
Organism: Musa acuminata subsp. malaccensis (wild Malaysian banana)
Lineage: Eukaryota; Viridiplantae; Streptophyta; Magnoliopsida; Zingiberales; Musaceae
Source: RefSeq, a predicted model, not a curated record